AAAAAUAAAAAACAUGGUACAAAAAAACAUACAUUUUUUUAUAUAUACAUGUCUUGUUUUGUCUUGUUUUAUUAUUAUUAUUAUUAUUUUUUAUUUUAUUUUAUUUUUUUUUGGUAAAGUGAAAAAGAAGUUCGAUUUUUAUGGGUUGGUACACCCAUGGUUAAAGAUGAAAACCCCGUAUCGUUAUGUCUACAUGGUUUAUCAACACAAGAAAUUUACUCACGUAGUAUUGAAGACUGUAGCGUACAACAGAUAGGAAAUAUAGAAGACAAAGAAAACAAUAAACUAAGUGAAAUGCUUAACUUUUUAAUUUUAAUCGAAGAGUUUAAUCCUUUAGAAUAUAGCAAUGAAAGAUUUGAAUAUUCGUUUAAGUUUGCAAGAAGUUCUUUGAUAAAUUUUACCAGUACCGAUGAACAUUUAAACAAAGGAAACCAGAACACAACACUUUUAAAAAACAACAUGUAUGACAGUACUGAUGAGGAAGACAAUACUACGCAAGAGAAACCUUUAAAAAGAGGAAAGCUAACAAAAACAAUUAAACCAAAAAACGAAAUUACUUUUAAAAAAGAUAGUUUAAAAAAUAAAAAAAAAACAAUUCCAGACCCAAGAUCUGUACUUUUAACCAACAUUAAUAAAGCUUUUCAAAAAAAUAUUAUAUGAAUAGAAUAGAAUAUUACAAAAUGUUUUUAUAACCACAUUUAUCUACACCUACCUAUGCAUGUAUGUAUUUAACGCGAUUGUUAUGCAUAGCUUAUAGUUCUAUUCGAAAACAUAUAACAUAGGUACAAACGAAAUAAAUAUAUAAAAUAAACGCGUUUUCGUGCA
Long non-coding RNA from Piliocolobus tephrosceles (Ugandan red Colobus), 825 nucleotides. The record is from Ensembl. Lineage: Eukaryota; Metazoa; Chordata; Mammalia; Primates; Cercopithecidae.